RNAcentral lists this ribosomal RNA (1236 nucleotides) under Triticum aestivum (bread wheat). RNAcentral describes it as "partial small subunit ribosomal RNA". Lineage: Eukaryota; Viridiplantae; Streptophyta; Magnoliopsida; Poales; Poaceae. The record is from RNAcentral.
AUGGCCGGCGACCUGCGCCACCGCCGCCCCGCGGGGGCUGCUGACGCCGGCGGGGAGGAGGAGGGGGACGGAGGAGCGGAGGCGGCGGCCAAGGCCAAGGCGGGCCCGCCGUCCGGCGGCGAGGGGGCGGAGGCGGCGGGGCCGGGGAGGAAGGAGGCGCUGGGGUGGCUGGAGUGGAGCCGCGGGUGGAUGGGCGUCGUGGGGGAGUUCUUCUUCCAGCGGAUCGCCGCCAGCCACCUCGCCAACCCGCUCGAGCUGCCCCCGCUCGACGGCGUCUCCAUAAUCGUCACCGGCGCCACCAGCGGCAUCGGCCUCGAGAUCGCAAGGCAACUCGCACAAGCAGGGGCCCAUCUUGUGAUGGCAGUUAGGAGACCCAAGGUGGCGCGUGAGCUGAUACAAAAAUGGCAGAAUGAACAAACAGAAGUUUCCAUGCCACUUAACAUUGAGGUAAUGGAGCUUGACCUGAUCUCCCUUGACUCGGUUGCAAGAUUUGCUGAUACUUGGAAUGCUCGCAUGGCACCCCUACACGUAUUGAUCAACAAUGCUGGCAUUUUCACCAUAGGAGAGCCUCAGCGUUUUACAAAGGAUGGAUAUGAAGAACACAUGCAAGUGAACCAUCUUGCGCCAGCUUUACUAGCAAUGUUGCUUCUACCUUCCCUUAUUAGAGGCUCUCCCAGCAGAAUUAUAAACGUCAAUUCAGUUAUGCACACAAUAGGUUUUGUAGAUGCUGAAGAUAUGAACCUUACAUCUGGAAAGCAUAAGUACAGAAGUUGGUUGGGAUACUCAAAUAGCAAGUUAGCACAGGUAAAAUUUAGCAGCAUAUUUCAUAAGAGAAUUCCGGCAGAGGCUGGUGUCCAUAUUGUUUGUUCCUCUCCUGGGAUUGUCCACACAAAUGUUGCACGGGACCUCCCUAAAAUUCUUGUAGCUGGAUAUCGUUUCAUUCCAUACUUCAUAUUUGAUCCUCAAGAAGGUUCAAGAAGUACAUUGUUUGCAGCAUCCGACCCCCAGGUUCCGGAAUACUGCGAGACGUUGAAGUCUGAAGACUGGCCUGUUUGUGCCUGCAUCAACUACGACUGUAAUCCGAUGAAUGCCUCUGAAGAAGCACACAACCUCGAAACAUCGCAGCUUGUUUGGGAGAAGACUCUCGAGAUGAUUGGCCUCCCGUCAGAUGCCCUGGAGAAGCUCAUCGAAGGGGAACCGGUUCAGUGCCGGUAUGGUCAACAGAAGGCUGAAUAG